This 34-nucleotide small nuclear RNA is filed under the name Cervus elaphus hippelaphus. Lineage: Eukaryota; Metazoa; Chordata; Mammalia; Artiodactyla; Cervidae. The record is from RNAcentral.
AUCACUUCUUGGCCUUUUGCCUUAGAUCAAGUGU